This 293-nucleotide ribosomal RNA is filed under the name uncultured eukaryote. RNAcentral's name for it is "partial 18S ribosomal RNA". It matches the Rfam family "Eukaryotic small subunit ribosomal RNA", at positions 6 to 268 of the family's 1831-position model. The record is from RNAcentral.
GGUUGAUCCUGCCAGUAGUCAUAUGCUUGUCUUAAAGAUUAAGCCAUGCACGUCUAAGGAUAAAUAUUUUUUAACCGUAAACCUGCGGAUGGCUCAUUAAAUCAGUUACAAUCUACUUCAUUGUAUAAAAUACUUGGAUAACCGUAGUAAUUCUAGAGCUAAUACAUGCAAAAAAUUUGAACUCGCAAGGGAACAAAUGUACUUAUUAGGGAGCAAAAUCAAUACAGGUCAUUCCAAACUCUAGAUUAUACCUUCACGGGUAUUUUUUAGGGGACUUGUAAAAAACAAUUGAA